GACCAGCCUUGCAACAGAAGUUGGACGUUUUUUAAAGGCUCUUGCGCUCGGCGAGGGGAGCAGAUAGAUACUCAGGAGUGAAAGACGGAAAGAAUCGGAUCUGGCGCCUCCUAACGCAGCCCGCACAGGAGCGAAGGAGAUCCUGGAGGAGGCUCAGCCCCAGGCUGGAGGGGGCAAGGGAAGUUUGGCAACGGCGGGAGGCAGAGAAACCGACUCAACAUCGAGUGGAUUUGAAAUCCUUUUGAGGGAGCACAGAGGCCAAACUUUGAGCCACCCUGAACUUGAGUUUCGCUGUUGUUACCCAGACUGGAGUGCAAUGGCACGAUCUCGGCUCACCGCAACCUCCGCCUUCUGGGUUCAAGCAAUUCUCCUGCCUCAGCCUCCCAAGUAGCUGGGACUACAGGCGCGCACCACCAUGCCCAGCCUCCUGCAUCCUAAUUCUUUGACCAUGAAAACCUUCAAGAUCACUCACAAAAGCUGCCUCCCAGAUGUCUUGUGGAGCUGGCACAGGGCUGGCCGGGAGAGGGAUUCUAAGUCAGGACACACGGAAGGACUUACAGGGAAGCUGCCACUAGCUCCAUACAAGGACAACUUUUGAAGUAUCAAGACAACCGGUCAGUCAUGCUCAGCUUCUAGAAGGAGUGAGCUUCCUGUCACCAGGGGUAUGAGAACAUUGUAGUAGCCAGGCUUGGUGGUGCAUGCCUGAUGAGCCCAGGAGUCCGAAUGCAGCCUGGGCAACACAAUGAGACCCCUGUCUCCCCACCACCAAAAGAAAAGGGUAGGGAAAAGUUACUAACCAUGGACCCCUCCAGGAUCCUGGGGCAGGAGGCAGGGAUGGCCCAGACACCCCACCCGUGUCUGGAUAUUUUAUUACUUCUGAUCUGUGCAGAUUGGGAAAUUCAAACCACAGAGAAUUAGGAGAGGAGUGAGGGUGGUGACAUAGGAGCUGGAGAGAGGAAACCCUCUCCACCCUAAAGCCCCUUCUGAGUCACCACUCCCAGACCCUCUGUUCCUCUUAAAUCAGCAGAUCUCUCCUCCCAGCUUCCAGCCUCUUUCCCCUCCAGAACUCAGGACCCCUUAGCUGCGAAAUGUUGUGUGUUCCUAGUCCUGAACUGGGGCUUUCUGGGAACCAAGGACAUUGCAUUAUUUUGUUCAUUGAACCUGUUUCCAUUGACAGUAGCCAGUGGGAGGCCCUGAGGUGAUAGCGAUGUGAUUUAUUGAUUCAUUGAUUGAGAUAGAGUCUUCCUCUGUUGCCAAGGCUGAAGUUCAGUGGCAGGAUCUCAGUUCACUGCAACUUCCACCUCCCGGGUUCAAGCAAUUCUGUCUCCGCCUCCGGAGGAGCUGGUAUUAUAGGGCCGGCCAUCACACCAAGCUAGUUUCUUUCUUCCUUUUUUUUUUUUUAACACAGGGUCUUGCUGUCACCCAGGCUGGAGUCCAGUGGUGUGAUCUCUGCUCACCGCAACCUCCGCCCCUCUAGAGUCAAGCACUUCUGCCUCAGCCUCCUAAGUAGUGGGGAUUAUAGGCACGUACCACCAAGCCCGGCCAAUUUUUGUAUUUUUAGUAGAAAUGAAGUUUCACCAUGUUGACCAGGCUUGUCUUGAACUGACCUUGUGAUCCACCCGCCUUAGCCUCCCAAAGUGCUGGAAUUACAGCUAUGAGCCACUGUGCCUGACCAAAUUUUAAACUUUUUAGUGGAGACAGUUUUGCCAUGUUGGCCAGGCUGGUCUCGAACUCCUGACCUCAAGUGAUCCACCUCGGCCUCCCAAAGCGUUGGGAUUAUAGGCAUAAGUCACUGCACCCAGCUGCACCACAACGAAAUAAUUAAUUAAUAAAUUACAGGCAUUAUUAUUUAUUUAGUUUAUUUAUUUGAGACAAGAUCUCCCCUUAUUGUCUAAGUUGGAGGACGGGGUGCAAUCACUGCAGCCUCCAUCACAAGAAGCUGGGAGUACAGGCUCAGGCCACCAUGCCUGGCUAAUUUGUUUAUUUAUUUAUUUUGAGAUGGAGUUUCUCUUUGUUGCCCAAGCUGGAGUCCAGUGGCGCAAUCUUGGCUCACUGCAACCUCUGCGUCCCAAGUUCAAGCCAUUCUCCUGCCUCAGCCUCCCAAGUAGCUGGGACAACAGGUGCUAUCUGAAAAAAAAGGCCAUCUAAAAAAAAGACAGAGUCUCACUCUUUUACCAUGUUGGUCAGGCUGGUCUUAAACUCCUGACCUCGUGAUCUGCCUGCCUCAGCCUCCCAAAGUGCUGGGAUUACAGGCGUCAGCCAUGGUGCCUAGUGAGACUCCAUCUUAAAAAAAUAAAUAAAUAAAAUAAAAUGUUUAAACAGGCUGGGCACAGUGGCUCAUGCUUGUAAUUCUAGCACUUUGGGAGGCCCACAUAGGAGGAUCCCUCAACCCCAGGAGUUUGAGACCAGCAUGAGCAACAUGGUGAGAUGCUGUCACUAUUUAUUUAUUUAUUCAUUCAUUCAUUUGAGACAGAGUCUCCCUCUGUCACCCAGGCUGGAGUCCAGUGGUUUGAUCUCCACUCAUUGCAACCUUUACCUCCUGGGUUCAAUCGUUUCUCCUGCCUCAGCCUCCCUAGUUGCGGGGAUUACAGGCAUAUUCCACCACGCCUGGCUAAUUUUUUUUUUAUUUUUGAGACGGAGUUUCGCUGUUGUUACCCAGACUGGAGUGCAAUGGCAUGAUCUCGGCUCACCGCAACCUCCGCCUUCUGGGUUCAAGCAAUUCUCCUGCCUCAGCCUCCGGAGUAGCUGGGACUACAGGCACGCACCACCAUGCCCAGCUAAUUUUUGUAUUUUUAGUAGAGACGGGGUUUCACCUUGUUGACCAGGAUGGUCUCGAUCUCUUGACCUCGUGAUCCGCCCGCCUCAGCCUCCCAAAGUGCUGGGAUUACAGGCUUGAGCCACCGCGCCCGGCCAUUUUUUUGUAUUUUUAGUAGGGAUAGGGGUUUCACCAAGUUGGCCAGGCUGGUCUAGACCUCCUGACCUUAGGUGACCCACCUGCCUUGGCCUCCCAAAGCGCUGUGGUGACAGGUGUGAGCCUCCACACCCAGCCACACUUUUGUUUUUAAUGCUUAAACAGAUGAAGGCACAUACAUAAACUAGAUGAUUUCAGAUGCUAUAGUGGUCACAGGUAUAAAGGGAAGAAAUCAAGUUGAGGUGACAGAUUGUGACGCUGGGGCUACUUCAGUAGAGAGGGAAGGUCUCUCUGGAGGUGCUAUUUGAGCUGAGACACAAAUGCUGAGCAAAAGGGAUUAGAAGUACAAAAGCCACCCAAGAAACAAGGCCAAUGGAGUGGGAUUUCAAAUUCCAAGUCCCCCAUCUUCAUUUUUGUUGCACCUUUUUUUUUUUCUCUCUCGUUUUUUUUUUUAAGACGAGGUUUCACUAUGUUGGUCAGGCUGGUCUUGAACUCCCAACCUCAGGUGAUCCGCCCACCUUGGCCUCCGAAGUGCUUGGAUUACAGGCGUGAGCCACCACGCCCAGCCUUUUUUUCUCUUUUUUUGAGAUAGAGUCUUGGCUGGAGUGCAGUGGCACUCUCGGCUCACUGCAACCUCUGCCUCCCGGGUUCAAGCAAUAAUCCUGCUUCAGCCUCCCAAGUAGCUGGAUUUACAGGCGUGUGCCACCCCACACCUGGCUAAUUUUUGUAUUUUUCUAGUAGAGACAGGGGUUUCACAAUGUUGGCAAGGCUGGUCUCGAACUCCUGACCUUGUGAUGUGCACGCCUCAGCCUCCCAAAGGGCUGAGAUUACAGGCGUGAACCACCGUGCCCCACCCCCAUUUUCAUUUCAAAAACGCCAAUAAAAUCCUCUGGGGGAGCCAGAGACUUUUUUGGGGUUGAAGUUUUCAACCUCUAACGGUUGGGUAGGGGCACGCCUCCUAGUGGCGAGAAGAGUUAAGUUUCACCUCGCUGACCUGCAAUGUCACAUGCUUGUCACUCAUUCCUGUCUCUCCCAUAUUUAUUCACUCAACAAAAAAUUAGAGCACGGAUUGUGUGCCAAGGAAUAUUCUAGAUGCUGAGGAUGGAGCUAUGAAGCUGACAGUAAAGGUCCCUGUCCUGGAGCUGCUCUCCUAGGAGAUAUUCCCUAGCACAGUCCCUGCACACGCCCCUACCUCACCUCUGCUCCCCAAAAUUGUCCUUCCGAUGCUCCAACAGCCAAAUAUCCCUGCUUCAGAGUCUUGGCAUGAGCAGUUCUUUCGCUACCCUGGAAAGCUAAAUACUGUCUGUUUGCAUGGCGGGCUCUGGUCUCAGCUAAAAUGUGAGCUAAGUCAGAAAGGUGUGACCUUUAUUUCCUGUCCUUCUCCACCCCCCACUGAUACAUAAGAUUCCAUGAAGGUUAUCAUUUUCCUGGAAUCCUCAACAUAGCACUUAAUAGUUGCUCAGAAGACAGCUGCUGAAUGGGUUUGAGCAUUCACUGGUUCAAAAAAUAUCAGCAACUGGUCACCCCAGUACAUAUCAGAUGCUGGUGAACACAGGUGAACAAGGUGGUCAAGAGACCAAAAAAUCCCUACCAAGAAAGAAAGAAAAGAAAGAAAGAAAAAGCUCCCUGCCCUGAAUCUGUGUAUUUUAAAAUUAAAAUUUCAGCUCCCGCAUUAUUCACUUCCUUUAGCCUGCUUUACUUACUUACUUACUUAUUUUUGAGACGGAGU
Molecule: long non-coding RNA, 4640 nt
Organism: Callithrix jacchus (white-tufted-ear marmoset)
Lineage: Eukaryota; Metazoa; Chordata; Mammalia; Primates; Cebidae
Source: RefSeq, a predicted model, not a curated record